GAACAUUUAGGCAGAAGCCAUUUCAGAAUCAAGGUAUAAGCUUUGACCUUUCUGUUGAUGUAUAUAUACAUAGAUUUUGUUGUUUGAGGCUAGAAACAACAUGGGUGUCUUCAAAUCUUCUUCUCUGCUCCUUGUUUUGGUCCUAUUCAUAGCAUCAUCCACAUCGAUUUCCCAAAAACCAGCAAGAUUUGCAGAAGCAAGGCCACUUCCUCUCAUACCUCAAUUACCAAGAUACUCGAAGAUUAUUGCAAGUUUGGGGAUUGUAUGCGAGUGUUGUGAUGGUAAUGGAAGGGAAUGUUCAAGUACAUGGACCGACUCUUGCUCUGACCUUCAUUGCCUGCCUUGGAAGACAUACACACACUAGUUAGUUGAUCUUCUAAAUUUUUUUCUCUCUCUCUGUAUUUUAGGGUUUUUGUGUUUGUUCUUGUACAUAAUAGAGUUGAAGAUUUCUACUUAAUUACUCGUAUUUGUAUAUGAUUUGUGUGGUAUUAGUGCUGCAA
This is a long non-coding RNA of Tripterygium wilfordii, 500 nucleotides long. RefSeq lists it as uncharacterized. The record is from RefSeq and is a predicted model, not a curated record. NCBI's taxonomy places the organism in Eukaryota, Viridiplantae, Streptophyta, Magnoliopsida, Celastrales, Celastraceae. The transcript has 2 exons.